This 273-nucleotide ribosomal RNA is filed under the name Chaetomium globosum. Its description in RNAcentral is "partial 18S ribosomal RNA". It matches the Rfam family "Eukaryotic small subunit ribosomal RNA", at positions 1139 to 1434 of the family's 1831-position model. The record is from RNAcentral. Lineage: Eukaryota; Fungi; Ascomycota; Sordariomycetes; Sordariales; Chaetomiaceae.
UUAACUUAAAGUAAUUGACGGAAGGGCACCACCAGGGGUGGAGCCUGCGGCUUAAUUUGACUCAACACGGGGAAACUCACCAGGUCCAGACACGAUGAGGAUUGACAGAUUGAGAGCUCUUUCUUGAUUUCGUGGGUGGUGGUGCAUGGCCGUUCUUAGUUGGUGGAGUGAUUUGUCUGCUUAAUUGCGAUAACGAACGAGACCUUAACCUGCUAAAUAGCCCGCAUUGCUUUGGCAGUGCGCCGGCUUCUAGAGGACUAUCGCUCAAGCCGA